This is a long non-coding RNA of Anas platyrhynchos (mallard), 3690 nucleotides long. RefSeq lists it as uncharacterized. The record is from RefSeq and is a predicted model, not a curated record. NCBI's taxonomy places the organism in Eukaryota, Metazoa, Chordata, Aves, Anseriformes, Anatidae.
GUCGGCAGGAGUAACCGGAAUGAGAGGGGCUUUUAAAACUCUCCUGCUUUUAAAAUUCUCUCAGAGUAAAAUUAAUUCACUGACUCUUCUCACCUCUGCAAGCUACAUUGAUGACAAAGAGAUGAUCAGUUUCAGUGAGAAGAGACUUCAGAAUAGGAAUGCUAUGAAGUAAUCACAUUAUAUUUUGGGAGCCUGAUAUACUGCUACCGGUGGCAUUCAGGCUACAGGCUGAGCUCAUGCAGUGGAUGCUUCAUCUGAGACAAAUAGCUCUUACAACUCUGAAAGAGGAAGAGAACUAGUACAACAGCCAAGAGUACAGACUGGAGGAGAGCAACCACCAGUGGGACAAGGCUUAUUUAACCUGAGUAUACAUCCAUCACACCACUCUCUCCUAAUGAGGUUUCUAUACAGCACUGAGCAAAAUAUCAAGUUGUUUUUCUUGGAAGCUAAUUUCUCAUCUUUCUCGCCUUCCCCAGCACCUUACUAACUUUUUCAAUACAUCAAAAUUCAGAUAGUUACAGUUACUGUGAAAAUGUGUCCCUUAGGAGUGAUAGGAACCAACAAAGUCAGGGACUUCCAGUCUGCUUCUUUUUGAAACUUACAGAGAUUUAGCAUAGGGUAUAAAGAGAGAGAGAAAAGUACAUCCAGCACCAAAAUAUGAAGACAGACAGUUAUCUUUUAAAAUGUAGUCAAAGGCACUAAUCCUAUUUUCUGCACUUUGUGUAAUCACCACGAACUAAAUGGAUAUUAGAGCACUUUCCUAACAGACACAAAUGUGGGAAAUAGCCACAGAAACCCAUUUCUUCCCAGCCAUUGUGAAUACUGAAAAGCAAAGAAAAAUAAUAAACAAACAAACAAACAAAAAACAAUGGUUUAAAUCCUAUUAGGACAAAAAUCCCUAUACAUUCCAGUCCAAGAUUAAUUUUUCCCACAAGGGCAUAUAGUACAUAAUGUUAACCACAUUUUCAAAAGAAAAAGGAAAGACAUCUUGAAGAAAAAAAGAGAAAAGUUCUGAGUCCUCAAAGCCAUUAAAUAUAUGCUUAACUUUAAGUACGCAUGUAAUAUUGAGCAGAGUAGAAACACAAAGUAUAGAUUUGAUUUUAAUCAUCUGUUGAUUAAGCUCUGUGCUGAUUGGGAGAGUUCUGCAGUAUGCAGAAGUGUGGAAAAGAAAAGCAUGUUAAAGGGUUAGCUGUUUAAAGGGCCAGGUUAAACAAGAUGUAAUUAUGGCUUCACUUAGUCUUUUUAUUCUGCUUCAAAGCUUGUGUGUGUGGGAAGGGCUUUGGCAGGUAGGAGCUAGCAUUGGUGUCUCAUUUUGCUUGUCUUUUUUUCAAUGACCAACCCUUUUCUAAUAUGCCUAAUUCUUUGAGAUAACAGAGGACAAAAUCUGCAUAUUAACUUUAAAGAAGCCCCACUGAAACCUCUUUAUAAGGAUGAGCCUUUAUUUUAAUACUUUGGAUUUUAUUGCUGGUGUAAAAUCUUUAAACUCACAGAGAGCAAGCUUUAAGGCAUUGUAAGAAAAGAAAAAGGCCCAGGACCACGUACUCUCUGAAUCCUUUAUCUUAAUAUCUAAUAAUAAACCCACGGGUAAUAACAUGGCCUAUGAAACCUUCUAGCUAGGUGCUUAAUUAAAAAACAAGAUCAAAGGUCAUUGCUUCAUUUAGAAUACAAAUCUCUCCCUUUGAAACUGUAAGGGAGGGGGCAGUGUUCAAUAGCUUGAAAUACAAUGCCUUGGUUCAUUGGUCCCAUGCUAACCCUACUGCAAGGUCAUCAUAACUGGAAUGCAGCAAGUAUGUCAGCCCCCUCUCUAAUGCCUUUUUAAGGAUGGCAUCGUGCAUUUGUACUUUCUGAACCUAGUCUCAUAGGCUGCAUACAGAAACCAGCUGGAGGAAGGGCUGCAAGAUCAAGCAGUGAAAAAGAAAGAAAAAAUAAAUAAAAUAAAUAAAACAAAACAAAACAAACAACAACAACAAAGCACAGAACAAGACACCUUCAGAAAUUAUUGGAGCAUAUAUGUGUUGUACUUCUGCUCAUCUCCAGCAGGCCCAGGACAAGUUGGAGAACUUACAUAUAUUGAUCUGUGUGCACCAGGUUUAUAUCUUAUGUAUUUGAGAUGUAUUGCAGUUGUGGUGCAUGAACAGGUCACCCACAAGGUGAGUCCAUCACUUCCUAGACGGUGUGAAACCAACAGGUUGAACUGCCUCACCAGCAGUUGACAAGACAAGAAUAAGCUGUAUGAACUAGUUAGAAGCUUGCCAGGUGGCAGACUUUACACUAUGGUAGCCAUCUGACAGAUGGGAAAAUGCAUCAGAGACAGAACGAUUCCACCACAUGGAACAUUUUCCAAGCAAGCAUGGGAAAUGAAUUCAUGUACUCUGAAUCCCACUUGAAUGCUUUAACUACAAGACCAUUCUUCAACUUAAAAAGAAGACCAUGUUGGGAGAAUAUAGUAUGGAAAGUGCAAAGAUAUAAAUAAUAAAAAAAAAAAUAAUACGAAUACUAUUCAAUUUUGUCAAGACUCACACAAAAAAUUUUGAAGGAAUUUAAGUCCACCUUUUUCUCACUGGAAUACCUGAAUUUCAGGAAACAGAUUCUGAAAUAGUUCACAGAAUGAAAUUUCCAAAUCUGGUCUAAAACUGAAAGUACGUAUAAAAAGGCGUCUUAUUACAGGUCUGAGAGGCAGUAUUUCUCAUAGUUAUAAGGAACAGAGAAGCAUUCACAGCACAAGCCAUUCUUUUCAUGACUGAAAUAGAAGCCAACAUGACCCUUAGGUUAUCAAGUAUUCAACAGUACUUUUUUAGAGGAAUGUUCUUUUUCUGAAAGCAUCAUCUGCUACUAGGGUUGCUAAAUACUACCAUAAGUCUUUUCUAUUUGCAUGUGAGUUGUUAAAUCCUAAUAACAUAAACUGAAAUGUUAUAUGCCCCCAAGACUGCCUCCAGACAAAGUUUUUUGGAAUAUUUUACCUCUAAGAGCAUGGCAUUUCUCAGAACGAGGCUAGCUUUCAUGUGUGUUAGAAAUGCUGGUGACCUCUUCUUUCAUAAACUCUCGUCCUUAGAGAAGGCACUUGAAAUUUGGCAGGAAAGUGAGAAACUGAAGAUUCACAGCUGCAAUGGACAUUAACAGAAGCAGAACUCUUAACAUGUAAAAUACUGUAUCACAUUACAUGCUUGAAAAGAAACACAGAAUUAUCCUCUCUUUUACUUUUCCUCUAUGCACCUUUGUUUGCCAAUUGCAAAAUGCAGGUGACACUACUUAUCUUUCAAAAGCAUUUUGAAAAUAAAGAAAAGUUUGUGAAAAGCUAGAACUCUAUACAAAUUAACUCCAAUGGGGAAAAAAUAAUUAAUCUGUUUGUAGAAGAGUUUGAAAAAUGGAAAAAUUUACAGCAAAAAAGGUAGGAACCGCUACAGAGAACAAAGAUUAAAAAGUAUUGAAUAAUUACUGCCUAAACAAGCUUCCUCCUCUCUGCGUACUGAGGCAUAGGUUUAGGAAAGAAGGCACAAUGUAUGGAAAUACUGGUAUGUAAUGAGGACAUGAUAAAGAUGUGUCAUCAUAGUUCUUAACAUAUGAGCUGGUGAGGGGCCUGGAGAACAAGUCCUACGAGGAGCGGCUGAGGGAGCUGGGCUUGUUCAGCCUGGAGAAGAGGAGGCUCAGGGGCGACCUUAUCGCUCUCUACAGGUACCUCGAAGGAGGCUG